AGUGAACGCUGGCGGUAGGCCUAACACAUGCAAGUCGAACGGCAGCACAGUAAGAGCUUGCUCUUACGGGUGGCGAGUGGCGGACGGGUGAGGAAGACAUCGGAAUCUACUUUUUCGUGGGGGAUAACGUCGGGAAACUUACGCUAAUACCGCAUACGACCUACGGGUGAAAGCAGGGGAUCUUCGGACCUUGCGCGAUUGAAUGAGCCGAUGUCGGAUUAGCUAGUUGGCGGGGUAAAGGCCCACCCAGGCGACGAUCCGUAGCUGGUCUGAGGGCAUGAUCCGCCACCCUGGCACUGAGACUCGGCCCAGACUCCUACGGGAGGCAGCAGUGCAGAAUAUUGCGCAAUGCGCCCAAGCCUGAUCCAGCCCUACCGCGUAAGUGAAGAAGCAGUCCGGGUUGUAGAGCCAUUUUGUUGGGAAAAAAAAGAAGCACGUUAAUACCCCGCUGUUCUGACGGUACCCAAAGAAUAAGCACCGGCUAACUUCGUG
This 492-nucleotide ribosomal RNA is filed under the name uncultured bacterium. RNAcentral describes it as "partial 16S ribosomal RNA". It matches the Rfam family "Bacterial small subunit ribosomal RNA", at positions 29 to 507 of the family's 1533-position model. The record is from RNAcentral.